RNAcentral lists this long non-coding RNA (677 nucleotides) under Ficedula albicollis (Collared flycatcher). RNAcentral describes it as "lncRNA (ENSFALG00000028617.1)". The record is from RNAcentral. Lineage: Eukaryota; Metazoa; Chordata; Aves; Passeriformes; Muscicapidae.
UUGGGCCUGCACGCUUGCCUGGGCUCACAGAGCUGGGCUCAGAGCGCUGCUUUGAAGUGGCUCGGAGCCCCCAGCAGUGUACACAGCACUUUGGGAAAGCUUCCCAGGGCAUCUCUCACGGAGCACAGGAUUCUCUGGCACAAUGCCUGGUCCAGACCCAGUCCAGCCAGAGAGCAAACUGAAGUUGCACCAGCCUGAUAAUUGUUCCCAUCUCAUCUGAGCACAGAUGCCAGCACAGUCAGUGCCACUUCAGAAAACACAGAUGGAGACACACUCCAGGAGCAAGGAAGGUCAGAAACCUGCAGAGAUCAAGAGCUGAGGGAUCCUUUGUGGAAGCAGUGGUGAUAAGAAAAACCAGGGUGUUUCAGAUCAACUGGUCAAGAAUAAGCCAUACAACUCCUCACUGUAACUACGCCAAGAUGAUAAAACUCUGAAUUCAGAUGAAAGUUUGUUAUCCAAAAUAAGGUAAUCCCACAAUAGAGGCACCACAUCUGUAAUUCUCCUAGGGAUGCUGAGUUACCUUAGGCCACUCAUCUCUAAGCAGGAAGAAGCUAAAGUAAAAUAACUAAAAGUCCUUUUGCAGAAAGAAAUGCCUGGGGCUUUAACUAGAGCUCAAAAUAUGGCUUGGGGGUCUUUGAAAGGGUGAUGAUGUAAUGGAGGGUGAUAUUAUUCAAAUU